Asterias rubens (European starfish) is the source of this 218-nucleotide long non-coding RNA. RefSeq lists it as uncharacterized. Lineage: Eukaryota; Metazoa; Echinodermata; Asteroidea; Forcipulatida; Asteriidae. The record is from RefSeq and is a predicted model, not a curated record. The transcript has 3 exons.
ACAUGAUUGAAGAACAACAACGCACCAUCACGAUGUUACAGGAAAAAAUCACAAUGCUUGAGGGUGUCCUUGGAGGGGGUGAUGAAGCCAACGCAACACUAAGCGCCAGAGGGCUUUGAUUUCUUUCAAGAUCGAGGGCAUUGAUGCAUCCAUUAAGUCAGCAAGUAAAAAUAUCACAGAAGUGAACCAGAGAGUUAGUAUGUUUCCAGGAAUCGUUG